This 8932-nucleotide long non-coding RNA is filed under the name Chlamydomonas reinhardtii. Its description in RNAcentral is "long non-coding RNA (CREI_LNC000725)". Lineage: Eukaryota; Viridiplantae; Chlorophyta; Chlorophyceae; Chlamydomonadales; Chlamydomonadaceae. The record is from RNAcentral.
CCCAACGAACCGCAAACCACAAAUCAAGUCACACCCACCUCAGCAUUAGAAGUGCACACCCGCCUAUCGAAUGUCGGAUGAUGAUAAGGCAACAAGUAGGUCUAGAGAAAUGAAAGCUAGUAGGUCUACUGCACCCAUGCAUGGAUGGAAAGAAUCAAUGGACCUGUGGAUAUAGGAUCCGGCCUCCUCAAGGGUCCUCGCGCAUUUACUAAAGAGCCAAGGGGUCUAGUAUGUAAGAAUCAAUGCCAGUCUCAAGUCAAGCACACUGAUGCCGGUUCCUGGCAUCUGGAAUGCCAGAAGGGUCGGAGGAACUUGCACACACAGAACGUACACGUCGUGUCACUGACAGCCCACUCGAGUCUCGUAAACAGAAAACAUAGUGCCCGCUCCUGCAGCGAGCCAAGAUACGGUAACCUCGAUACUUCUUUGUGUGUCACCGCGGUACGCGCACACACACGGAUCCACGGGCUUCCUCUCCGCACUCCUUCUGUCACACCCGUGCGAUAGAUCGUUUCGGACGUCACCUCUCCUCCGUCCCAUUACGAACCUGUAGCCCCAGGCAGCCCUGCGUCCAUUGGCACAGCGCCCCUCGCCACCUGCCACCCUCCCGCUCAGCAAAUAAACGCACGCGCGAGAGCAAAACACCAGCAGGUCCAUAGUAUGGCCAAGGGAGGCUGCCGGUUCCCCGGUCCCAUACAGUCACACAUACAUCUUAUUAAGAAACAUCAGCAGGGUUUAGUUGGCAAGUCUCAGUAGAGAAAUAGACAUCCAUACAUCACCCAAUGCGCGUGGCAAUAUCGCACUGAGUGCUUGCUUGCGCUAGCAAUCCAGCAUCAAGUACGGCCUUUGACACUCCCGCUCGCUCACAUACGGUGAAAUAUCAGUACAGCACGGCAACACUUGCGCGAAUCAGUCCUGACUCCUGCGGUAAACGCCGACUACCGUAGCACGCCCUGCUGUCGUGCUGACAAUGAGAAAUGUGCGGCGGCACAGCCCUGCUGGUUCACUUGAUAGUGGGCCCGAUCAGUAGCUAGUAGCGGCGAUUUGCCUAGCUGUCUAUACUUGCACGCAUACGCUGCAGGCUUUGCCGCCUGCCAUUCAACACACUCCUCAUGCCCUGCUGCUGGCUCGCUUCGAUACUGUACCAUCCACACACGUACGUGUGAGGAGCCCCUCUUGCGCCCGGCCACCAGCACCAAAGCUGCGGCGGCUGCGGCUGCUACUGCUACUGCUGCAUCUUCAAAUGGCGAAGGCAGCAAGCCGCUGGCUGCAGGCUCAUGCAGCUGACGGCGUAACACGGAAGCCAAACGGAACGGAGCGGGCCUUGCCGCUACCAGGCCGCCACCGCUGCCGGUGGCGGGAAGCAGCCGCACGCGCGCUCCAACGCGGCAAACUCCUCCAGCUCCCUUUCCUGCUCGGCCCACGCCGCCGCCGCCAGCUCGAGCGGCCGCCGCUGGGGGUGCCGCCGGUACCGCUGGCAGCUGAUGCCGCCGCCGCCUGCUCCGCCAGGCCCUCCUUCAUCCAGUGUGCGAGCGACCCGAGGUCGAGCUCCUCCUCCUCCUCCUCAACGUCAUCCGCCCAGCGGCGGCCGCUGGGGGUGCCGCCGGUGCCGCUGACAGCUGCCGCCGCCGCCUGCUCCGCCAGGCCCUCCUUCAUCCAGUCUGCGAGCGACCCGAGGUCGAGCUCCUCCUCCGCCUCCUCGUGCGCCUCAACCUCAUCCGCCCAGCUACCGCUCGCGCCACCGCUGCUGCUAAUGCUGGCGCGAGGAGCAAUGCUGCUGCUGCUGCCGUCAGACUCUGACGCUGCCGCGGGCGCGGCCGGUGCGGCUUCCGCCUGCUGCUGCUCGGCCGCCGCGAGCUCCGCCAGUCCCUGCUUCACCCAGGGCGUCUGCUCAAAGAGGUCGCUCAGGUCGAGUCCGUCAGCCUCAUCCUCAUCAUCAUCGCCCCAUCGCGGCGUGGUCGAGCUGCGGUCGACGGUGGAGGUGGAGAUGGGGCUUGCAGCGGCGGCGGGCUUGGUCGGAGCCGCGAGCUUGGGCACCUUGGGCAGGCCGGGCGGCUUCUGCGGGCGCCAGUGGUUGUCGUAGGCAUGGCAAAGCUGGCAGGGGGCGCUCCUGCAGCCAGCAGAUAGGCUGGCAUAGCACCAGCGCAUGCAGGACUUGUGAGGAAAGCAGCAGGCGCUGGGGGCAGGCUCCUGCUGCUCCUGCUGGUGGGCGGCGGCGGAGGGCUCGCUCUCAUCAGAGCCGUGGCCUUGGCUGCGGGGCGUGUGGCGCCAGGCGUCCUGUGCAAACGAGAUCGGGGGAAAAGGAUAGAUGGGGGCGGACAAGCCGUGAGUGCACGGGACGAGGACAAGGGUCGGGGCGCAGAGGGCGGGACAAAGGACCGGGGGUCGGGGACUCGAGCCCCGGCAAAAAAGUCAGGCGCACCGGAAAGGCACGCGCUUUCGGUCAAAGCUGUUGACCGACGCAUUUUACGUGACAAUACAUGCAGCAAUAUGCAGCCAGUGUGGCCGCAGCAGCGCAAGAAGGAAGGCCGAGGAAGCCGAGCGCACUACCGUACUGGCCCGAAAUCUGCAACGCUAUCUAGCCCGCAUCAGAAGCCUAAUGCUUUGCAUGUGGCAUCGGAUACCCAUUGCAGUUGCUCAAGGCUCAAAAUGGCCGUGCCCGAACAUGAAUGGUGCUCACCUGCAUCGGUCGGCUCGGCUCGAAGUCAAGCCCCGGUGCACUUGCGCUUGACCGUGAUGUGGCCAUAGUAGCUCUUGACCGCAACAAGCACUCUUCGCGCGCAGAACUCGAUUCUGCUGCUAGCGCAAUUCUUUCGCUUGACGGAAACUUUUCCUCGCGGUGCCCGGGAGGGAUUCGCGCUAGGAGCUGCUAGUUCGUGACAGUGGUGGUGCUUGCCGCAGCUUUCAUGCGCAUGCGGUGGAAAUCGAGAGAGGUUGCGAACAGCCCUAGAAAUGCUCUUCUUUGCCGUCAGGUGCUCGUAGCUAAGCAGUGGGCGUAAAAGCUGUUUGCGAGAUGUCUUUGCAUCUGUUGAAUGUGCAAUAUGAGCACAGCGCGAAGCUUUUAUCCAGUGGCGGGGACAGUGUCUCGGGCGCCCAUGCAGGCGACACGCGCCCAAUCCCGAGCCUCCCUCCUCGCCUUUACCUUGUCCCUGGACCCGCGCCAUCCGUGUCCCGCUGUUCAAUUCCCGCGUUUCAUACCAGUUCCCCUCCCCUGCGCAGGCCGGUAACCCCUGAUCCCGCCGCUGCCGGGGAUGCAGCCGUGCAGGAUGAGGCCUGAUGAGGUUGACGGCUGGGGAAGUUGGUGUGGGGAAGUUGGUGUAGGUUGGCGGUGAUCCAGCGGGGUGGGUGCCGAUGUGCUAUAGCGGGCGCGAGGCUGUACACGUCAGGAUCUGGCGAGUGUACUGCUUAACACCUACCGCUACGCAGUACUCCGGCUUGCCCCUCCCCCCUCAGGGCGCUCCAUGCCGUGCGCCCCGGAAUGCGGUGUGGGGAUGGGGUGGGGUGGGAUGGACUGGCGGAUGGUGGAAGUAUCAUAUAGGUCUGCUGGGGGCUGCGAGCAGCCAUACUACCGGUCAUGAUAUUGCCUUCGGUAGCUCAGGGCGCCGCGGGCUGGGGGUGGGUAAGUGAGCGGGGAUGGGGGCUCGGACUCAGCGGGGGCACGGACUCAGGGCGUGGAAGCCAGCGAGAAGUGGGCGAGAGUAACGCCGAUGUGCCGGGUGAUGUGCGAGCAGAAUACAGAACGCGGCAUUCGUCAUUACGGGGAAACUAAAACAGAUAGCGCCAACCUUUUGCGCCUCGCGCUUUCGCGCGCAAUUUCCAGGAUCCUCCAACGCGUCGAUUCCUCCGUCUUGCGUCCUUCCGUGCCGGGAGCCUUGAUUAUCGAUACAAUUUGUGAUAUAUUGUAUGUUGCGCUGGAGCUCUAAUGCAAACGCUGCGCUUGUGCGUUUACCCCGCUCUGGCAUAGGGCUUGCGUUUUCAUAAUGUUACGCUUUGCAAUACAUACAUAGAAAGGCGCAUUAUUUGCACGACAAAUUCCGCUGCGCUCGGGUUUCAAGGUUAUAACUCAAGUCAAAACUGGAAUAACCGGGAGGGCCCCCCGCGGCGAGCUCGAUGCGACCGCAAUGGCUAUUGCCCCUCCCCCUUCGGGGGAAGGGGCAAGCCAACCUGGCUUUGUGAUGGCCCCCAAGCGUAGGUGAGGUAGGCGCACGGCGGUGACAAGGCAUGCGGCCAGUGGAACUGCCUUACAGUUACAGCCCGCCCAAGCGCGGUUGUUGCCUUGCCAUGAUUUCCGUGCAGUCUGCUAGCUUCGGCAGGGACGGUGCCCAUCAGUUCCCGAUGUUGACAAACCAUGCAUCCAGCCGCCCACACGUGCUCUCCGUUCGUCACAUACCGUACUCGAACUCCAAUGUCCGCAGAGCGUGUGCGCGAAAUCCACACGCCACACACGCAAGUGACAGCCGCCCGUCCUUGCACAGCAAGCAUCUCCGCGCACGGUCGCACGCUUCUCUAGCCCCAACGAACCGCAAACCACAAAUCAAGUCACACCCACCUCAGCAUUAGAAGUGCACACCCGCCUAUCGAAUGUCGGAUGAUGAUAAGGCAACAAGUAGGUCUAGAGAAAUGAAAGCUAGUAGGUCUACUGCACCCAUGCAUGGAUGGAAAGAAUCAAUGGACCUGUGGAUAUAGGAUCCGGCCUCCUCAAGGGUCCUCGCGCAUUUACUAAAGAGCCAAGGGGUCUAGUAUGUAAGAAUCAAUGCCAGUCUCAAGUCAAGCACACUGAUGCCGGUUCCUGGCAUCUGGAAUGCCAGAAGGGUCGGAGGAACUUGCACACACAGAACGUACACGUCGUGUCACUGACAGCCCACUCGAGUCUCGUAAACAGAAAACAUAGUGCCCGCUCCUGCAGCGAGCCAAGAUACGGUAACCUCGAUACUUCUUUGUGUGUCACCGCGGUACGCGCACACACACGGAUCCACGGGCUUCCUCUCCGCACUCCUUCUGUCACACCCGUGCGAUAGAUCGUUUCGGACGUCACCUCUCCUCCGUCCCAUUACGAACCUGUAGCCCCAGGCAGCCCUGCGUCCAUUGGCACAGCGCCCCUCGCCACCUGCCACCCUCCCGCUCAGCAAAUAAACGCACGCGCGAGAGCAAAACACCAGCAGGUCCAUAGUAUGGCCAAGGGAGGCUGCCGGUUCCCCGGUCCCAUACAGUCACACAUACAUCUUAUUAAGAAACAUCAGCAGGGUUUAGUUGGCAAGUCUCAGUAGAGAAAUAGACAUCCAUACAUCACCCAAUGCGCGUGGCAAUAUCGCACUGAGUGCUUGCUUGCGCUAGCAAUCCAGCAUCAAGUACGGCCUUUGACACUCCCGCUCGCUCACAUACGGUGAAAUAUCAGUACAGCACGGCAACACUUGCGCGAAUCAGUCCUGACUCCUGCGGUAAACGCCGACUACCGUAGCACGCCCUGCUGUCGUGCUGACAAUGAGAAAUGUGCGGCGGCACAGCCCUGCUGGUUCACUUGAUAGUGGGCCCGAUCAGUAGCUAGUAGCGGCGAUUUGCCUAGCUGUCUAUACUUGCACGCAUACGCUGCGGGUGUGCCUCACAUACCAUAAUACCCAGUGCUGCUUCUUUCGCAUAUAACACACGCUCAGCAUGCCCUGCUGGCUCACUUCGAUACUGUGCCAUCCACACACGUACGUGUGACGAGCCCCUCUUGCGAACGGCCGCCGGCACCACAGCUGCGGCGGCUGCGGCUGCUGCUGCUCCUGCUGCUGCUACUGCUACUGCUGCAUCUUCAAAUGGCGAGGGCAGCAAGCCGCUGGCUGCAGGGCUCAUGCAGCUGACGGCGUAACACGGAAGCCAAACGGAACGGAGCGGCCCUUGCCGCUACCAGGCCGCCACCGCUGCCGGUGGCGGGAAGCAGCCGCACGCGCGCUCCAACGCGGCAAACUCCUCCAGCUCCCGCUCCUGCUCAGCCCACGCCGCCGCCGCCAGCUCCAUCGCCAGGCGCAGGCGCGAGGGCAUCACAGCUGACUGCCACUCAUCACCCUGCUGCACCGCCGCGAUCGGCGGAACGACACAGCUGCCCAUGCUGCUGCCGGCGGCGGUGCAGGCCUCCUUGUCAGCGCUAUGCUCCUCCACUGCCGCCUCCACCAACUCCACCUGCUGCGGCGUCUCACUGCCUGCCGCCGCCGCCACCCAGACCAGACUGCAGCUGCUGGCGCUGCGGCUGGUGCGGGCGCUGUCCGGCACGGCGCAGCAGCACGAGCUGAGCGGCGAGUCAGGCGCGUCCAGCCGCUCAGUGACGACGGCCACCUCCUGCGCCGCUUCGGCCGCCGCCGGCACGCACUCGCCCUGGGCCUCUGCUUUCCCCAUCGCCGCCAGCUCCGCCGCCAUCCAGGGCGACAGCGAGGCGAGGUAGGCGCCGAAAUCGCCGGCCUCCUCCGCCUCAACGUCAUCCGCCCAGCGGCGGCCGUUGGGGAUGCCGCCGGUGCCGCUGGCAGCUGCCGCCGCCGCCUGCUCCGCCAGGCCCUCCUUCAGCCAAUCUGCGAGCGACCCGAGGUCGAGCUCCUCCUCCGCCUCCUCAUGCGCCUCAACCUCAUCCGCCCAGCUACCGCUCGCGCCACCGCUGCUGCUAAUGCUGGCGCGAGGAGCAAUGCUGCUGCUGCUGCUGCUGCUGCUGCUGCCGUCAGACUCUGACGCUGCCGCGGGCACGGCCGGUGCGGCUUCCGCCUGCUGCUGCUCGGCCGCCGCGAGCUCCGCCAGUCCCUGCUUCACCCAGGGCGUCUGCUCAAAGAGGUCGCUCAGGUCGAGUCCGUCAGCCUCAUCCUCAUCAUCAUCGCCCCAUCGCGGCGUGGUCGAGCUGCGGUCGACGGUGGAGGUGGAGAUGGGGCUUGCAGCGGCGGCGGGCUUGGUCGGGGCGGCGGGCUUGGUCGGAGCCGCGAGCUUGGGCACCUUGGGCAGGCCGGGCGGCUUCUGCGGGCGCCAGUGGUUGUCGUAGGCAUGGCAAAGCUGGCAAGGGGCGCUCCUGCAGCCAGCAGAUAGGCUGGCAUAGCACCAGCGCAUGCAGGACUUGUGAGGAAAGCAGCAGGCGCUGGGGGCGGGCUCCUGCUGCUCCUGCUGGUGGGCGGCGGCGGAGGGCUCGCUCUCAUCAGAGCCGUGGCCUUGGCUGCGGGGCGUGUGGCGCCAGGCGUCCUGUGCAAACGAGAUCGGGGGAAAAGGAUAGAUGGGGGCGGACAAGCCGUGAGUGCACGGGACGAGGACAAGGGUCGGGGCGCAGAGGGCGGGAGAAAGGGCCGGGGGUCGGGGGCUCGGGCCCCGGCAAAAAAGUCAGGCGCACCGGAAAGGCACGCGCUUUCGGUCAAAGCUGUUGACCGACGCAUUUUACGAGACAAUACAUGCAGCAAUAUGCAGCCAGUGUGGCCGCAGCAGCGCAAGAAGGAACGCCGAGGAAGCUGAGCGCACUACUGGCCCGAAAUCUGCAACGCUAUCUAGCCCGCAUCAGAAGCCUAAUGCUUUGCAUGUGGCAUCGGAUACCCAUUGCAGCUGCUCAAGGCUCAAAAUGGCCGUGCCCGAACAUGAAUGGUGCUCACCUGCAUCGGUCGGCUCGGCUCGAAGUCAAGCCCCGGUGCACUUGCGAUUGACCGUGAUGUGGCCAUAGUAGCUCUCGACCGCACCAAGCACUCUUCGCGCGCAGAACUCGAUUCUGCUGCUAGCGCAAUUCUUUCGCUUGACGGAAACUUUUCCUCGCGGUGCCCGGGAGGGAUUCGCGCUAGGAGCUGCUAGCUCGUGACAGUGGUGGUGCUUGCCGCAGCUUUCAUGCGCAUGCGGUGGAAAUCGAGAGAGGUCGCGAACAGCCCUAGAAAUGCUCUUCUUUGCCGUCAGGUGCUCGUAGCUAAGCAGUGGGCGUAAAAGCUGUUUGUGAGAUGUCUUUGCAUCUGUUGAAUGUGCAAUAUGAGCACAGCGCGAAGCUUUUAUCCAGUGGCGGGGACAGGGUCUCGGGCGCCCAUGCAGGCGACACGCGCCCAAUCCCGAGCCUCCCACUCCUCGCCUGUACCUUGUCCCUGGACCCGCGCCAUCCGUGUCCCGCUGUUCAAUUCCCGCGUUUCAUACCAGCUCCCCUCCCCUGCGUAGGCCGGUAACCCCUGAUCCCGCCGCUGCCGGGGAUGCAGCCGUGCAGGAUGAGGUUGACGGCUGGGGAAGUUGUUGUGGGGAAGUUGGUGUAGGUUGGCGGUGAUCCAGCGGGGUGGGUGCCGAUGUGCUAUAGCGGGCGCGAGGCUGUACACGUCAGGAUCUGGCGAGUGUACUGCUCAAGCUGGCUUUGUGAUGGCCCCCAAGCGUAGGUGAGGUAGGCGCACGGCGGUGACAAGGCAUGCGGCCAGUGGAACUGCCUUACAGUUACAGCCCGCCCAAGCGCGGUUGUUGCCCUGCCAUGAUUUCCGUGCAGUCUGCUAGCUUCGGCAGGGACGGUGCCCAUCAGUUCCCGAUGUUGACAAACCAUGCAUCCAGCCGCCCACACGUGCUCUUCGUUCGUCACAUACCGUACUCGAACUCCAAUGUCCACAGAGCGUGUGCGCGAAAUCCACACGCCACACACGCAAGUGACAGCCGCCCGUCCUUGCACAGCAAGCAUCUCCGCGCACGGUCGCACGCUUCUCUAGCCCCAACGAACCGCAAACCACAAAUCAAGUCACACCCACCUCAGCAUUAGAAGUGCACACCCGCCUAUCGAAUGUCGGAUGAUGAUAAGGCAACAAGUAGGUCUAGAGAAAUGAAAGCUAGUAGGUCUACUGCACCCAUGCAUGGAUGGAAAGAAUCAAUGGACCUGUGGAUAUAGGAUCCGGCCUUCUCAAGGGUCCUCGCGCAUUUACUAAAGAGCCAAGGGGUCUAGUAUGUAAGAAUCAAUGCCAGUCUCAAGUCAAGCACACUGCUG